UAUCAAGAGAGGUAGAGACUAGAGAGACAUACAGGUGGCAGGGAAGGCGCGCGCUUCCUCCUGCCGCCGCGAACAAAAUUCCUUGCUUCCCCGGCGGCAGCUCGAAUCGGAAUACCCAUUUGUCCAUCCUCGCAAGCACCCUUCCACCUCCUCUUCUUCCAAUGGCGUAUAAAUCGUGUCCGAGCCCAUCAGCCCACCGUGCCCCCCACCAUCACGUUUGUGGCGAUGGCGACGGCGACGGCCUCGAGGUCGACGGUGGUGAGGCGGAGGCGGAACGCGCUGGCACAGACGCUGGCGUCGCGGAGGCUUCCGGAGGGCGUGGCGGAGCCCGGGGAGCGGGUGCCCGAAGCCUUGGCCCCAGAGGUGAUGCCAUUCAUCCGCGCAGCCGACGAGGUCGAGCUGCUCAACUCGCGGGUCGCGUUCCUCUGUCGCAGAUAUGCCUACAAGAAAGUUCAAAGAAUGGAUCCAUCAUCCAUCCAACGUGGGGUUCGGCAGUUCAAAACAUACAUGUCACUUAAGCUAGAUCAGGAUGACAUGCAAUUUCCUUUAAAUGAUUCAAAGGAGAUCCAACGAUUUUAUAAGUACUACUGUGAAAAUUUGAGCAGAACCUCUGAAAAACAGAACUUUGAGGAAUUGGCUAGAUAUUACCAAGUGGCGUCUGCUCUUUAUGAAGUGUUAAGAGAUGUAACAAACAACAAGGUUGAUUCUGAGGUGAUGAAACGUGCUAAAGUAGUAGAGGAAAAGAGUGCUCAUUUCAAGAGUUACAAGUACAACAUAGUCCCCCUCAAUUUUCCUGGUUCUGCAGAAGCAGUUGUGGAACUCCCGGAGAUAAAAAGUGCUAUAGAUGUAAUACGUAACAUAGACGGUCUUCCAAAGCUACAGAUGUCUUCAAUGCAAAGGGAAGGAAAACCUAUCUGGGAUUUACUUGACUGGCUUUCGCUAGCAUUUGGAUUUCAGAAAUCGAAUGUGGAAAAUCAGAGAGAAAAUAUGGUGUUACUGCUUGCAAAUAUUAGCACAAGGACCUCAGGACAGGAAGGGCAUCCUUUGGUCGACACUGUGAAUGAUUUGUGGGACAAAAUAUUUGGAAAUUAUGGAUCAUGGUGUCACUAUUUGCAUGUUAGUUCAAGAAUCAUGAUCAAAUAUGAUGACACAGAACUAAAGAAGCAGCAGCUAAUGCUUCUCCACAUUGGAUUGUACCUUCUUAUCUGGGGUGAGGCUUCAAAUGUCCGGUUUAUGCCUGAGUGCUUAUUCUACAUAUUCCACCAUAUGGUAAAACAGUUGAAUCAAAUGGUUGAAGAAAGUUAUUUUCAACCACCACCUGGGUUUGAAGAGGAGGGAUCAUUCCUAAACAUUGUCAUUGAACCUAUCUAUAAGGUUCUGCAGAAGGAAUCACAAAGAAGUAAAGGUGGUACAGCUGGCCACUCAGCUUGGAGAAAUUAUGAUGACUUGAAUGAACAAUUCUGGUCAGAGAAAUGUUUUAUGAAGCUUGGCUGGCCAUGGGAUCUCAGUGCAGACUUCUUUCAUCAAGAGGUAUGUCAUAACUGUGCUUAAUUUGAUACAUCAGCCAGGGCAACUGCCUAUUUAAAUGGCUAGAGUACGAUUGUCUUACUGGGGAGUUUACUGUCGAGUGUUUGAUUAACCACAUUAUGGCUUCACCUUGAAUGAGUAAGGUUUUUUGUGAUGUCAACUUAGUGCUCAUAAGGUCGUGGCAGAUCCAGGGUUUUAUGGGUGAGACUUGGGGCUUACAACUAUUUAGUUACAUUAUGCGCACUAUUUCAGUUGAACUGUUUCUCAUUGCAAGGAUCGCAACAACAGUAACAGAGAGGAUCAUCAGAAGGAAUCUUCAGGAUCUGGUGAGGAUGGCUCCGCUCCGCUCCCUCCCUGCUCCUCCUAGCCCACCCACCCCCAAGCCCCUCCGCCGCCGGUGAGCCCCUGCCGGUUGCCUCCCCUCCUUGCUCCCGCUCCCUGCCAUGGCGGCCUCCAGUGCUGACCCUGUCGAGCCCCGAGGGACCCUCUCCGGCGAUCGCGUGUCCUCUGGUGACUGCUGGUUCGAUUCGGAGAGCGAGUCCUCGACGCGCUCGUACAUCGACGUCGCACGCACCCCGCCGGCCACUCCCGCGCCGCCCGCGCCCCCAGCUCUCGCUCGCGCCGUCGUCGCCGCUCCACGGCAGCCCGCUGCGAGCCGCCUCGGCCCCCGCUCCGAGGUGCACCAUGCUCCGGGUGGUGUUCAGGUGGAUGCUGACGGCUUCCAGCAGCCUCGACGCUGGAACCGCCGUCGUCGCCCGCGCGCCAGGAUGGCGAGACCUCCUCCCCGCAGCCCCGGCGCCGCAGCCCAUCCCCGGAGGAGGUUGCCGGGCUCUGCUUCCGCUGCCUGGACCCUCGCCACCGCGUGCGCGACUGCACCAACGAGGUCCGAUGCCGUCGCUGCUUGCUGUCAGGCCAUGACUCGCGCUCCUGCACCCCCCAGCGUCGGGAGGCCGCACGGCAAGCUCGCGCCACCCUUGUCGGCCGCGCGGACCAGGCUGCGGGAGCGCGCGCCACCUAGGCACCGCCGCCGCAUCCUCCCGCGGCUUCGGUGAUCAUCGCGCCUGCGGCACACGCACCCGCGCCAGUGAGAGUCAUCAUGUCGCACUCUGUCGAGAUGGAGGAGGCCGAGGAGGUUCUAGCGCGCGCGAUGGUGGCCUCCAUCACCGGCAACCGGCCGCAAGUGUUUGCCGCCGAGGUCUCUGACUUGCUCAUCAGUUCCCUCAAGCUUGCGGAUGGUGAUUUCUCGGUCCAUACCCAUCACCCUGAGGAUUUCCUGAUUCUCUUCAACUCCCGACCCACCAUGCGUCGCCUGAACGGUGACCACUUCAUCAACUCCCCGCGGUUCUCCCUCUCUGUUCGCCCCUGGAGCAAGCUCGCUCAUGCGGGUGCCGGCGAGUUCGAGUAUCACGUUGAGCUGGAGCUCCGUGGCAUUCCCGCCCAGGCAUGGCAUCUUUCGACUGCUGGCAAACUCCUGAAUAGUUUGACACGGAAUUGGUACAACCAGUCAGUAUAUAAUUUUGCAAUCGUCAUUUAUAUGAUUCCGAACAUUUUGGCUGCCUUGCUUUUCUUGUUGCCACAACUUCAAAAUAUAAUGGAACACUCAAAUUGGCGUGCAGUUAUUCUUCUUAUGUGGUGGAUUCAGCCAAGAUUGUAUGUUGCACGUGGUAUGCAUGAGGACAUAUUGUCCAUUUUUAAGUAUGUCUUCUUUUGGGUCGUGUUGCUCACCUCCAAGCUUGCAUUUAGUUUCUAUGUUGAGUGGUCACUGUAAUAAUACUGAGGCAAAUCUACAACUAGGCCCCCACCCAACAGUCAUACAUUAGCUAUUCUCACAAACAAUAAAUAAAUACAUUGUGUAUUAAGAUGUUUCAGUCCUUCUACUGAUAUUUUGUUUACUUCCCAGAACCAAAUCAUGAUCCGGUUAUUCAGGUUUAUUUUAUUACCUUUGUAUUUUGAUAAGCCACUACAUUUAAUUUCUGAUGUGAAUGCCUUUAUGUGGUAGCUGAAUGAGUGUUCUCUUUUUUCUGCCUCUGACUUGAAGGAAUAUAUUUUUUAAUAUAUCGAUGCUCAUCAUUGCCAUGUCUGGCUGUCUGGUUCAUGCUACACAGAAGCUUAGAUCUGUAAUCAAGCUAUGGAAGAGAGUACUGUAAGAGACACUUCUAUAAGCAGAGAUAUGUGCCUGAAUUUACACCUUAAUUAUACCUCAAUUAGUUGAAGAGCUCUCCUGGCUUAAGAUCUUUCUAGGAUAAUUGCGUUGUUAAAUCUGAAGGAUUCACUCAUGUGCCAAAGCCAGCUCGGGGAAGCCUUCCUGAACUCCUGGUCGACCACGACAACCACGACACGAUCUUAAGCAAGCGGAACACCGAAGGAGGAUCUUGGGGAUGACGGAGGCGUCGAUGACAACCUCAAAGGCGAGAGGAUGAGACGCUUUGAGGCGCUGCAGCAAUACAAGUGCGCACAACUUCAUGUCAAGAGGCGCGCCAUGGGCGCACCCCAGCCCCUAGUGUGGGUUUUCAAGCGGUGGCUGAUGUGGAUCACACCAUCAAGCAUUCAGUUCAUGCUGUCAUGUUGACUGGAUGGGCAGGACACUGAGCUCUCAUCACUAUCUCAUGCCUGCCGCACAAUCUCGGUGUGGUCAUUACUAUAUGGGCACCAAUUGUUUUGGUGUACUUUAUGGACACACAAAUAUGGUAUGCUAUUUUCUCCACUGUCUUUGGGGGUGUUUCGGGUGCCCUUAGUCAUGUCGGUGAGAUACGUACCCUAGGCAUGUUGAGAGUCAGAUUCAAAUCAAUGCCAGAUGCUUUCAGGAAAUGUCACGUGGCAGCACAUAAAGAGCAAGCACUUGAUGUGAGGAGCUUCUUUUGUGUUUGGAAUUCAUUCAUCAAUUCCUUACGAGAGGAAGACUUCAUUAGUGAUAGAGAGAAGGACAUGUUGAUGGCUCCAUCGUCUUCAAGUAAUUUACCUAUUGUUCCGUGGCCUCCUUUCCUCCUUGCUAGCAAGGUACCAACAGCUCUCCAUAUGGCCAUGACUUCCAAAGAGGGGGAUGAACAUGAGCUGAUCGAAAAAAUCAAACUAGACAAGGACAGAUACAAUGCAGUUAUAGAAUGCUACGAGUCCUUGAAAAUAAUAGUUGUUUGUCUUCUGCUAGACUAUAAUGAUAAAAGAAUUGUCCAUGAUAUCGAUAAAAUAGUGCGAACUAGUAUGCAAAAUAACACACUUUUGGACGACCUCGAGAUGGCAGAGAUUGGUAAAGUCAGCAACACAUUGGCAAAAUUAUUACAGCUACUGUGUUUUGACUCCAUAUUACAAUGAGGAAGUACUUUAUUCAUCUCAUCAACUAAAUAGAAAGAAUGAAGACGGUAUCUCGAUUUUGUUUUAUCUACAAAAGAUUUAUCCAGAUGAAUGGAAGAACUUUCUACAACGCAUUGGAGUUGAUCCAGAUAACGAAGAUGAAGUAAAGGGAUGCAUGGAUGAUAUCCGUAUAUGGGCGUCUUACCGGGGUCAAACACUUGCCAGAACUGGGUACGAUUCCACUAUGGUCACCCUGAUGUUUUCGAUAGAAUCUUUCACAUCACAAGGGGUGGCAUAAGCAAGGCCUCAAAGGUUAUUAACCUCAGUGAGGACAUCUUUGCAGGAUUCAAUUCAACCCUGCGACAAGGAACUGUUACCCAUCAUGAAUACAUACAGUUGGGUAAAGGACGUGAUGUUGGAAUGAACCAAAUAUCCAACUUUGAGGCCAAGGUGGCAAACGGUAAUGGUGAACAAACUCUAUGUCGUGAUGUUUACCGACUAGGACACAGAUUCGAUUUCUACAGGAUGUUGUCUAUGUACUUCACCACAGUUGGCCUCUACUUCAAUAGCAUGGUGGCUGUUCUUACGGUGUAUGUAUUUUUAUAUGGGCGGUUGUAUCUUGUUUUGAGUGGCCUAGAAAAGUCGAUUCUCCAUGAUCCACGGAUUAAAAACAUCAAACCCUUUGAAAAUGCACUUGCCACCCAAUCGGUAUUCCAACUUGGGACGUUGCUCAUCCUCCCGAUGAUAAUGGAGGUCGGCUUGGAGAAAGGGUUUGGUAAAGCCCUGGCUGAGUUUAUAAUCAUGCAACUUCAGUUAGCUCCUAUGUUCUUCACUUUUCAUCUCGGGACAAAGACUCACUACUAUGGAAGGACUAUACUUCAUGGUGGUGCAAAAUAUAGAGGAACAGGCCGGGGUUUUGUUGUACGCCAUGCGAAAUUUGCUGAGAAUUACAGAAUGUACUCACGGAGCCACUUUGUGAAAGCAUUGGAGCUGCUCAUCCUCUUGGUUGUUUAUCUAGCAUACGGGAGUUCUUACAGGAGCUCGAGUUUGUAUGUAUACGUCACAAUUUCGAUGUGGUUCCUUGUUUUCUGCUGGCUGUUUGCACCUUUUAUCUUCAACCCAUCAUGCUUUGAGUGGCACAAGACGGUUGAUGACUGGACUGAUUGGUGGAAGUGGAUGAGCAAUAGGGGUGGUAUUGGGCUGGCACCUGAGCAAAGUUGGGAGGCUUGGUGGGUGAGUGAACAUGAGCACCUAAAGAAUGGAACAAUACGUAGCUUGCUCUUGGAGCUGGUUCUGUCGCUGCGCCUCCUGAUCUACCAAUAUGGUAUUGUGUACCACUUGCACAUAGUGCACGAGAACAAAAGCUUCAUGAUAUAUGCACUAUCGUGGCUGGUUAUUGGCAUCGUUCUUGUUUUGCUAAAGGUUGUUUCACUGGGGAGAGAGAAGUUUGUUACCAAGUUUCAGCUUGUGUUCCGUAUACUCAAGGGCAUUGUGUUUCUUGUCCUCAUCGGCUUGAUGGUGGUCUUAUUUGUUGGUUUUGAUCUCGCUGUGUCAGACGUUGGCGCCAGUGUCUUGGCCUUCAUCCCAACUGUCUGGUUUAUUCUUUUGAUGGCACAAGUGUGUGGACCGCUGUUUCGGAGGUUAGUGAUUGAGCCACUUGGCGUGCUGUGUUGCUCCUGCUGCCCUGGUGGAGCAUGCCGAGGGCCUUGCUGCGCCAAGUUGAGGCAGAGUGGGGCUGUGCUCUGUAAGAUAGGGCCAUGGGACUCCAUCCAAGAGAUGGCAAGGAUGUACGAGUAUACCAUGGGGAUCCUCAUCUUCCUGCCCAUCGCCGUCCUCUCGUGGUUCCCCUUCAUGUCAGAGUUCCAGACGCGUCUGCUCUUCAACCAAGCCUUCAGCCGGGGCCUGCAGAUCUCGAGGAUCCUCGCUUACCAAGCGUGAAUGACUUUGCUUGCUUGCAAACUACCCUGCUCUGUCUGUAGCGUGCAUAUUCACGGCGUUAUUAUAUUGUAUUGUUGAUUUGGAACUUUGGAAGGAUGCAUUGGAGCAAUAUCUGAUUUGUUCUCACCGUUGAACCAAAACUAAAAGAAAGCUACACAUUUGCUUUUCCAUUACACCUUUUCUUGGAGUUUACAAUUAAUCAUCUAAUAUU
This 6964-nucleotide ribosomal RNA is filed under the name Triticum aestivum (bread wheat). RNAcentral's name for it is "partial small subunit ribosomal RNA". The record is from RNAcentral. Lineage: Eukaryota; Viridiplantae; Streptophyta; Magnoliopsida; Poales; Poaceae.